AUCUGGCUAGCUCAGUCAGUGGAGCAUGAGACUCUUGAUCCCGGGGUUGUGAGUUCAAGGCUCAUGACGGGUA
Molecule: transfer RNA, 73 nt
Filed under: Felis catus (domestic cat)
Lineage: Eukaryota; Metazoa; Chordata; Mammalia; Carnivora; Felidae
Rfam family: tRNA
About the family: Transfer RNA (tRNA) molecules are approximately 80 nucleotides in length. Their secondary structure includes four short double-helical elements and three loops (D, anti-codon, and T loops). Further hydrogen bonds mediate the characteristic L-shaped molecular structure. tRNAs have two regions of fundamental functional importance: the anti-codon, which is responsible for specific mRNA codon recognition, and the 3' end, to which the tRNAs corresponding amino acid is attached (by aminoacyl-tRNA synthetases). tRNAs cope with the degeneracy of the genetic code in two manners: having more than one tRNA (with a specific anti-codon) for a particular amino acid; and 'wobble' base-pairing, i.e. permitting non-standard base-pairing at the 3rd anti-codon position.
Source: Rfam by way of RNAcentral